GGGAAUGUAGCUCAGUGGCAGAGUUCAUGUUUUGCAUGCAUGAGACCCUGGGUUCAAAUCCCCAGUGCCA
RNAcentral lists this transfer RNA (70 nucleotides) under Marmota monax (woodchuck). It matches the Rfam family "tRNA". Rfam says of the family: Transfer RNA (tRNA) molecules are approximately 80 nucleotides in length. Their secondary structure includes four short double-helical elements and three loops (D, anti-codon, and T loops). Lineage: Eukaryota; Metazoa; Chordata; Mammalia; Rodentia; Sciuridae. RNAcentral also lists the same sequence under 1 other name. The record is from Rfam by way of RNAcentral.